Molecule: long non-coding RNA, 1509 nt
Filed under: Coturnix japonica (Japanese quail)
Lineage: Eukaryota; Metazoa; Chordata; Aves; Galliformes; Phasianidae
Description: lncRNA (ENSCJPG00005020397.1)
Source: RNAcentral
GCAGGUGAAAAGGAUCUGAAAGAGACACUUACCUAUCAGGGGAGAAAAAGAAGGUUGAAUAUGGGAGGGAAGAACAGCUGAAAUUCAAGGAACUUACACAAGACAGUGCAGUCUGCUAAUACUCCUGAAGGGUUUGUUAACAAUGAGGUGAUUUGUUACCAAAUGAUUGUCUGUUCUGUGUUAGUCUCAUAUCUCAUAUCAAAAUCUUACGCUGGGCAUCUGGCUUCUUUGUGCUUCUUUUCUUGAAGGACAUAUUAGAGGAUUUUUCUUUGCAGUGCCAUUUAGGAAAUGUUUUGUGCUCUAGAUGAGCUGGGGAAGGGGAGAGUCUGCUGAAGGGGAUCCUGCACAGCCCAGGGGUGUGAUGUAACAGGAACCAAGCAGACUGCCUGAGAAGAUACAGGGGAGGAUGGAUAUGGCUGCACAACUCCAGGUUCUCUUUUAGGGUGCAUUGAAUUCUCAAGCAGAGAUAGCACUUGUGAGCCUGAACUCUGUGCAUUGUUCAACACCUUAAUGUUAUUCCUCCUAGGGAGAUCAGAUGCCGGGAUGAGGGCCAGCAGAACUCCUUUCUGAUACAGCUCUUCCACUGAAGUCCCCAUGACAUUUUCACAGCUCUGCAUCUUAUCGGGUCUUGACCACAGAGGGUGGUUAAUGUGCAGCACUGCAGUACACACAGCCCAACCUGCUGCAAGAUGACUCCCCCAGAUGGAUCCCCUCCAUUGAGGACAGUAUAAGUCAAACAUUAGAAGGUAAGCAUUCCCAACUGAAGGCAGAAUCGAAUUCAGCCCGUUUUCCUUAGCUCACCUAAGGUCUGAGCUGCCAUCUGGCCAUACCUAUUUCUCUUCACUGGCUCUCAAAAGACCAACACUGUACCAAAUCAGAACCAUUCCCCAUGUGUGAAGCUGGCUUGAGAAGGUUGUAGAAAUGUAGGGUUUGUUUUCACAUAACUCCACUUCUACCAUACCUUGAGGACUACACAAUGUAUACCAGCACACUGUGGCCUUAAUAUGAGUUGGGCAUGGACUUGCUCUGAUGCAGCAGAAUAGACUCUAGGGAAGAUGUCCCUGACUCAAAUGCUACUGUCAUUGCCAAGGUCUGUGAGCUCAAAGAUGGAUCCUAGACUUGCUGCUGCAUCUGAGGAUCAUCUUCUGCAGUAGGAGAAAUUUAAUACCGCACCUCUGUGAGUGUGAGAUGAAGCUUUAUAAAUUUCUUAGUCCAUUUCUCUGGCCAAACAAUUUGUGCACGUGCUUGAAGCCUUCCUGCCUCUGACUCAUCUCAUUUUGUGCUCCACCUUGUCUUUGGGAUGAAACCUUAGACCCACCAGAUUCUGUCAUCCAGAAUGAGGUUUGACAGUAACCAUAAAACCUCCCUGGGGGAAGUGUGAGUGCAAGCAGCUGCUGAAGCCACAACAAUGGGACUGUGUGGCAGUUCACAUAUCUGGUCUGCAUGCUGUCAACAUAUCACCCUUCCAGAUACACAAGCGAUGCUCUUUUGUUGGCCUGGCUGAUGCAC